UCUUCCACAAUGGGCGAAAGCCUGAUGGAGCGACGCCGCGUGAGUGAAGAAGUAUUUCGGUAUGUAAAGCUCUAUCAGCAGGGAAGAAAAUGACGGUACCUGAUUAAGAAGCCCCGGCUAACUACGUGCCAGCAGCCGCGGUAAUACGUAGGGGGAAAGCGUUAUCCGGAUUUACUGGGUGUAAAGGGAGCGUAGACGGCAGCACAAGUCUGGAGUGAAAUGCCGGGGCUUAACCCCGGAACUGCUUUGGAAACUGUGCAGCUAGAGUGCAGGAGAGGUAAGUGGAAUUCCUAGUGUAGCGGUGAAAUGCGUAGAUAUUAGGAGGAACACCAGCGGCGAAGGCGGCUUACUGGACUGUAACUGACGUUGAGGCUCGAAAGCGUGGGGAGCAAACAGG
This 397-nucleotide ribosomal RNA is filed under the name uncultured bacterium. RNAcentral's name for it is "bacterial SSU rRNA". It matches the Rfam family "Bacterial small subunit ribosomal RNA", at positions 362 to 776 of the family's 1533-position model. The record is from RNAcentral.